Molecule: ribosomal RNA, 547 nt
Filed under: uncultured bacterium
Lineage: Bacteria
Description: bacterial SSU rRNA
Rfam family: Bacterial small subunit ribosomal RNA
Source: RNAcentral
UGGGGAAUAUUGCGCAAUGGGGGGAACCCUGACGCAGCCAUGCCGCGUGAAUGAAGAAGGCCUUAGGGUUGUAAAGUUCUUUCGGUAUUGAGGAAGGUUGAUGUGUUAAUAGCACAUCAAAUUGACGUUAAAUACAGAAGAAGCACCGGCUAACUCCGUGCCAGCAGCCGCGGCAAUACGGAGGGUGCGAGCGUUAAUCGGAAUAACUGGGCGUAAAGGGCACGCAGGCGGUUAUUUAAGUGAGGUGUGAAAGCCCCGGGCUUAACCUGGGAAUUGCAUUUCAGACUGGGUAACUAGAGUACUUUAGGGAGGGGUAGAAUUCCACGUGUAGCGGUGAAAUGCGUAGAGAUGUGGAGGGAUACCGAAGGCGAAGGCAGCCCCUUGGGAAUGUACUGACGCUCAUGUGCGAAAGCGUGGGGAGCAAACAGGAUUAGAUACCCUGGUAGUCCACGCUGUAAACGCUGUCGAUUUGGGGGUUGGGGUUUAACUUUGGCGCCCGUAGCUAACGUGAUAAAUCGACCGCCUGGGGAGUACGGCCGCAAGGUUA